Ornithodoros turicata is the source of this 376-nucleotide long non-coding RNA. RefSeq lists it as uncharacterized. Lineage: Eukaryota; Metazoa; Arthropoda; Arachnida; Ixodida; Argasidae. The transcript is spliced from 3 exons. The record is from RefSeq and is a predicted model, not a curated record.
UCCAAAUUUUUUCCUCAUCUCACGUAAAUUUUGGGGAAAUUUUUCCUCACUUCACCUGAACCUCAUUUUAAAACUAUUUUCCUCAACUCACUAUUUUUCUGAAAAAAGUUCACAUCACCUCAGUCUUCUUCCUAAAGUAUUUUCCUUUGUUGCACCUCAACCUUGUAAAAUAUAUGAUGAAAGAUGGAAGUCACUGAAAAGAGUUUGGGGACCUUCUCUUGAAAGACCUUUGUUCUGAAGCCAUCAGGGAAAACUUCAGACGGCACAGCCGGUGGCGGGAUUCGAACCCACCACCUCCCAUCUUCAGCACGACCUCGGCCAUCACCUAUAGGAGCGGGACGCCUUAACCCGCUUGGCUGUGCCGCUGGUAUGGGGG